RNAcentral lists this ribosomal RNA (779 nucleotides) under uncultured bacterium. RNAcentral's name for it is "bacterial SSU rRNA". It matches the Rfam family "Bacterial small subunit ribosomal RNA", at positions 72 to 863 of the family's 1533-position model. The record is from RNAcentral.
CGAGGAGCUUGCUCCUCCGAUCAGUGGCGAACGGGUGAGUAACACGUGAGCAACAUGCCCCUCACUCUGGGAUAACAGUUGGAAACAGCUGCUAAUACCGGAUACGACACAGACAGGCAUCUGUACUGUGUGGAAAGUUUUUCGGUGAGGGAUGGGCUCGCGGCCUAUCAGUUUGUUGGUGGGGUAAUGGCCUACCAAGACGACGACGGGUAGCCGGCCUGAGAGGGCGACCGGCCACACUGGGACUGAGACACGGCCCAGACUCCUACGGGAGGCAGCAGUGGGGAAUAUUGCACAAUGGGCGAAAGCCUGAUGCAGCGACGCCGCGUGAGGGAUGACGGCCUUCGGGUUGUAAACCUCUUUCAGCAGGGAAGAAGCGAAAGUGACGGUACCCGCAGAAGAAGCACCGGCUAACUACGUGCCAGCAGCCGCGGUAAUACGUAGGGUGCGAGCGUUGUCCGGAAUUAUUGGGCGUAAAGAGCUUGUAGGCGGUUUGUCGCGUCUGCUGUGAAAAUCCGGGACUCAAUUCCGGACCUGCAGUGGGUACGGGCAGACUAGAGUACGGUAGGGGAGACUGGAAUUCCUGGUGUAGCGGUGAAAUGCGCAGAUAUCAGGAGGAACACCGAUGGCGAAGGCAGGUCUCUGGGCCGUAACUGACGCUGAGAAGCGAAAGCAUGGGGAGCGAACAGGAUUAGAUACCCUGGUAGUCCAUGCCGUAAACGUUGGGCGCUAGGUGUGGGGCUCAUUCCACGAGCUCUGUGCCGCAGCUAACGCAUUAA